This 371-nucleotide ribosomal RNA is filed under the name uncultured bacterium. RNAcentral describes it as "bacterial SSU rRNA". It matches the Rfam family "Bacterial small subunit ribosomal RNA", at positions 527 to 896 of the family's 1533-position model. The record is from RNAcentral.
GGGGGGUGCAAGCGUUGUUCGGAUUUAUUGGGCGUAAAGCGCGUGUAGGCGGUUUUAUAAGUCUGAUGUGAAAGCCCUGGGCUCAACCCGGGAAGUGCAUUGGAUACUGUAAGACUUGAAUACGGGAGAGGGCAGUGGAAUUCCUAGUGUAGGAGUGAAAUCCGUAGAUAUUAGGAGGAACACCGGUGGCGAAGGCGGCUGCCUGGACCGAUAUUGACGCUGAGACGCGAAAGCGUGGGUAGCAAACAGGAUUAGAUACCCUGGUAGUCCACGCCGUAAACGAUGAGAACUAGGUGUUGCGGGUAUUGACCCCUGCAGUGCCGUAGCUAACGCAUUAAGUUCUCCGCCUGGGAAGUACGGUCGCAAGACUA